This 254-nucleotide ribosomal RNA is filed under the name uncultured bacterium. RNAcentral describes it as "partial 16S ribosomal RNA". It matches the Rfam family "Bacterial small subunit ribosomal RNA", at positions 335 to 606 of the family's 1533-position model. The record is from RNAcentral.
GGUCCUACGGGAGGCAGCAGUGGGGAAUAUUGCACAAUGGGGGCAACCCUGAUGCAGCGACGCCGCGUGAGUGAAGAAGUAUUUCGGUAUGUAAAGCUCUUUCAGCAGGGAAGAUAAUGACGGUACCUGAGUAAGAAGCCCCGGCUAACUACGUGCCAGCAGCCGCGGCACUACGUAGGGGGCAAGCGUUAUCCGGAUUUACUGGGUGUAAAGGGAGCGUAGACGGCAUGGCAAGUCUGAAGUGGAAGCCCGGG